Molecule: long non-coding RNA, 1193 nt
Organism: Musa acuminata AAA Group (dessert banana)
Lineage: Eukaryota; Viridiplantae; Streptophyta; Magnoliopsida; Zingiberales; Musaceae
Exons: 2
Source: RefSeq, a predicted model, not a curated record
GUCCUCUUCCCCAAGAAUCUUUGUCGAGAUGGCUUCUUGAUCCCGUUCAUUCACGGCUUUUCUUUCUGUUCUUCGUCUUUUUUUCUCGUCUCCAAGAAUCUUCCUAGUACUCAAAAUAAGAUGGGCUUUUCUUUCCGUUCUUUGUUCCUACGAGUUUCAAGAAUCUUCGGAGCAUUUCAGAUUAAGAUCGCUCCUUGAUCCCAUUUCUUGCUGAGCUUUGGAUCGAUUUAAUGCGUAAUUUCUUCGACAAAAUAUGGGCGGGAAAAUAGCAGAGAGAGCAAUUUUAUCUUAGCCCGUAAAAGAGCGUAAACAUAGCUUAAAACUCAUGUCCGUUAACCUAUGGGUAAUCCCGUCUUAUUUCGCAUCAAACUGGAUCUUUGUAGCCAUAGGCUCCAUAUUUCUAUCGGAACAAACUAAUUUGUGUUCUAAAAAAUCAAUUAUUUUUUCGCACUUUCCUGAUGCUGUUCGAUCAGGGAAGUAGUAGUAGUUCUUGAAGGCUCCAAUGAGUUGCAUCAAGUGUUCUUGUAUCACAGAAAUUUUUACGCGGUGAUAUGAGCACGACUACCGUGGGACCAGUGACGGACGUGGUCACCCUCACAGUUUUCAGGGGUGAGUCACGCAGCAGCUAGAGGCGGUGGCCGUUAUGAGUCGGUGGCUGUGUGCACGUGACAAAGUCGAGUUAAAAGGAGAGCUCUCCCCUCUCUCGUCCCCGCCCGACCUGUCCAAAGCCCUCUCGGUCUACCUCUGCAUCUUUUCUCUUCUCUUUUCCCACAAGAAUAAACCCUACCCUCCAUGGAUCUUUCGAUCCCAUCCUCCAUAGGAGCCUUCCCAGGUCGAAUAGUUUGAGCUUUCUAAUCAAUCCCUCCUCCGAUGGCACAACCAACCUCCCAAGAGUCUCAUCGUGGGAUAGGGUCUAGCCUCGCCAAUGGCUGGGAAUUAAAAUCUGGAAUGCACGAAGAAAGCUCCAACGAGAUUCAUCGAAUACUCGUGUGAGUUAUGGACGUACACGAUCAGAUGACUCUUCUUCUUCUUCUUUUGUUUUUUUUCAUCUUCCCAGCUAUUUAUUAGUGGAUAGGCUAAGAAAGUUUAGGAUUUGGAGUCAAUUAAUAUUAGCAGUAAAUUAACAUGGAAUCAGUUAUGUUGUACGCUUUAAAUAACUGACUCUUUCCAACAGUGAAACAUAUUUGAAUCAA